AGCUGGUCGUUGCCAGGGGACACCGGUGAGGCUGGCAGUGUUGCCGAGGGAUAGAUAUUAACCUGUGAAAAUUGCUGUACCUUUAUCACCAAAGGGACAAAGUGGGAGAGUCUCUGGCCUGUAGUUCCUGUUUGGAAUUCUGUGAAGCUGGCAGAAAGUACCAAUGGAACUUCAUCAAUGCCCAGCCUUUGUAACGCACACAGGAACAGCAAGAGUCAGGGUGCUCGAAUUUGGACAUCCUAGUUUGCUAAAUCCCAGUCCGGUUGUUAAAGAUGAAACUGGUCUCCUUAUUGAAGAAUAUCUUUCUCCCUCAAAACUGGUGAGAAAUUUAAAUUAAAUAUUUUGUGGAAGGAAUUCUGUGCAGUGAUUUUUGAAGCCAACAAAAUGAAUUGUGGAUAUAAAAAUAACAUGUUGGAGCUGUCAGCUGUUUUGGGAAUUUCUGUACUAGGUGUGAAAAAUUGGAGAUCCACAGUG
Molecule: long non-coding RNA, 474 nt
Organism: Mobula hypostoma (lesser devil ray)
Lineage: Eukaryota; Metazoa; Chordata; Chondrichthyes; Myliobatiformes; Myliobatidae
Exons: 3
Source: RefSeq, a predicted model, not a curated record